RNAcentral lists this long non-coding RNA (2614 nucleotides) under Coturnix japonica (Japanese quail). RNAcentral's name for it is "lncRNA (ENSCJPG00005012815.1)". Lineage: Eukaryota; Metazoa; Chordata; Aves; Galliformes; Phasianidae. The record is from RNAcentral.
GGAAAUCUGCUUGGUUUCCAGAAUACAGAGCAAGUGUCCGUAGGUGAAGGUUUUUUGGUUGGAUAUUGGUAUCAUGAAUCACUGAUGAAAAUUCAGCCAAAGAAUUUGAAUAACGUGCUCAGAAUCAUAGAAUGGAUUCAUAGCAGCCUUAAAAAGUCCACAUCUCCUAAGUGUCAAUCCUGUGAUUUUACCAUAGGAUCAUCCCUUCUCCGUCGCAGUGGUUAAAUAAGAUGUUACAACAACACAGAAUUAAGGCCUACUUUAAGUCCACUGCAGAAAAUUCUUUUGUGGUUGUUGUUGUUGGCUUUAUGUACCUUACAGGAUCCAGUGAAUGGCAUUAUUCCUUAAAAAACCAUAAAAAACAUUAAGCAAACCAAAAGGGGAUCUGAAUGACUUUUAGUAGAGACAGCAAAGAGGAGAGGCUUUGCAGUACAGGGGCUGGUCCUUUCAGGGCUGUGGACGUAUGUAUUCGCUUGGCUGGCAGCUUGGAAAAUACCAGUGUGGUGAGGGCGAGGACAGUCUGUAAAAGCCUGUGUGAUUUUAUUCUUGGCUUGCAUGCUUUCACUGUCAAUGAAAAUGCUGUGUGGGAUUCAGUUCCUCGGAACUGAGUGAAAAGGCCACAGGUGCCAAAUCUGAUUGCUCUCAAUGGCCAUCUUAGACACAGAAGCGCUGCAGAAAGAUCGUAGAAGAAGGCGAAGAGCUAAUUUAUUAUUGAACUGCAACACACCAGUAACACUGAAAUAUCUUGGAGAAUGUAUCCUGAACAAUGAGCCCAAACCAGGCAUGUGUCCUGCCAUGAGUACCUGGCGGAGGAGAACAGGUUUAGUACUUCAUGCUGGGAAUACUAUAGAGAACACAACUGUAAACAAAAUAAGCGUGAGUUUGGUAUGAGAUCUGACUUGAAAUGAGGUCUUGAGUUAAUUUCAAGAGAGGUUCCUAAUUUCUUCCAAGUUUGGCUAUUUGAAGUCUAAAUUCUCACAUGUGCACUAAGUAAAGAACUUAGAUUUUCUUAAGUUUUUGAGUAUGUGCAGUAACUCAUUUGGCAUACCUGUCAGUUUGUUCACUAACAUAACGUAGAGUUACAAAGUAUUUUGGGACAGGUAGUCCAGUUUAAAAGAUGUAAAUAAUUAUUGGUGUCUUGUAAAUCUUUUCCUAAUCCUAAUAUCAAUUGAUCAGUGAAAGAAAAAACAAAACAAGGCACAUCUGACAAAAAAUAGCCACAUUUUACCAAUGCUGAAAAUCCAGGUGGUCUCACUCAAUAGUUUUAAUUCUUUGCUAGACAAGAGUGUGCAGAAUAGCAAACCGUUGCUGGACUUUUACACAAUACUGUUUUCCAGAUCUGUCUGCAACUUGACAGGCAAAUUGUUUCGCAAUAGUUGCUGAAUUAAGGUGAAGUCCAUAAUUCAGAUUUGAAAGUCUUAAAUGCAACUUCUCCAUAAUUGGAAAUUCAGUGCCUAGAUGUCUGUCAGGGACACAGCUAUUUGUAUCUUGCCAAAAACAACUUGGUUCACAAUCACAAGGGAAAACUUAGCUUCCCAGCUGGCUGAUGUGAUGUAAUCUGACUCCUGCUCAGUUACCAGAGUGCUGCAGGAACAUGUGUUCCAUUUGUUGACAGAACAAUUGUCCUGGAUAGCAUUUACUUACAGUUCAGUACUUUCAUGAAUAUUAGAAGAACUUAAGUCACAUAGCACAGAAAGUGCAGGUAGCACUUUCCAUUUUCAGUGUGCUUCUAAGCACACUGCCAACUCCCUCAGUACAUCUUCUAGAUUUACUAGUGAUCUACAAAUUGCACAGAGUACAGGCAAUUUAGAACUUGGACAGAUUGUGUUGUACCUUGCCUUCCUCAGCUGGCCACUCUCAUUUCUUCUCACUCUAGCCCUCAUAACUUCUUUGUCCAAAGUUGCUUCAUGGUGGGAUUUAUGCCAUGGUGAUUUCCUUAGUGAAAACAGAAGAAGUGUGGAAGAGGCCUCAGUGACAAGAACAAGAGUGAAGCUGGACAACAGUUCAGGGAAUUGCACACCUGUGAUCUAACAUCUAUAGAUAUUUUUUGCAGACAUCCCACCUUUUUGAACAACCUGAUGAAUGUUUUUCUCAUUAAGAACGGGUCACAAGGAUCUGGAAAGCAGUAAUUUGUUUGCGUUACCUGUUGGUGAGCUGUGAGGAGUUGUCUUUGCUCAGACAGUAAUCUCUGGAUUUGUGUUGUAAUCCCUUUGUUUCCUGAAUAACACAGUCAAAUUUGCCAUCAAUUCUUUUUCUUUUCACUUGAAAAUCUUAUUGUAAUAAGUUGUGAUGAUGUUUGUAUGUUCUUUAGAAAUCUCAGAUAAGAGUCUUGAACUUUAUAGAGGCAGCAUUUACACGAGGGACUUUGACAGCCAUCCCCUCUUGAGGAGGUUACAGCGUCACUAAAUCCUAAUCUGAUUUGCACUAGGGAAUACAUGCAGCUAAUUAGCAGCAAUGUCGUCUUAAGGUUAAUUACAACAAACUGAAAUGUGAGAUGUGAAUUUGCCUUGUAAAUAAGUGUUCCCUUGUAUCCAUGCUCCUCUAUCAGAGCGGGAAAACCAGAGAUAGUGGGGAUGAUAAUAAAUGCAGCUAGUCUAUCUCUUUAAGUGAAGAA